GACGAACGCUGGCGGCGUGCUUAACACAUGCAAGUCGAACGGAAAGGCCCUGCUUUUGUGGGGUGCUUGAGUGGCGAACGGGUGAGUAACAUGCGAGUAACCUUCCCUUUACUUUGGGAUAACUUUAGGAAACUGGGGCUAAUACCGGAUAGGAGCUCCUGCUUCAUGGUGGGGGUUGGAAACUUUUGGCGGUUGGGGAUGAACCUGCGGCUUAUCAGCUUGUUGGUGGGGUAGUUGCUUACCAAGGAUUUGACGGGUAGCCAACAUGAUAGGGUGACCGGCCACAUUGGGACUGAGAUACGGACCAAAAUCCUAAGGGAGGCAGCGGUGGGGAAUAUUGCACAAUGGGCGGAAAACUGAUGCAGCAACACCGCGUGCGGGAUGACGGCCUUCGGGUUGUAAAACGCUUUCGCCUGUGACGAAGAGUGAGUGACGGAAAUGGGUAAAGAAGCACAGGAUAACUACGUG
This 468-nucleotide ribosomal RNA is filed under the name uncultured bacterium. Its description in RNAcentral is "partial 16S ribosomal RNA". It matches the Rfam family "Bacterial small subunit ribosomal RNA", at positions 28 to 507 of the family's 1533-position model. The record is from RNAcentral.